UUAAAUUUACUAAUUAGAGAAAAUACUAUUUUACUCCCAUUGAGCAUUUAGAAAUUUUAGGAAGAGGUUUCAGUUUCUGGGGCCUGAGAAAAUGAGAGAAUAUACAACAGGAAAUUCACAUAAACCAUGAUUAUUUUAAAAACUCAGGAAGAUAAGGUAUGUAUCUCCAAAUUGGUCCCUUCUGGGUUGUCACAGUGAACUGUGUCAGCUGGAAGUCCAAGGGAAUAGUGACUUCUUCACAAGUUGAAGCAACCAUGAUAUCCAGAUGAAAUGCUUUGUGUGCUGUAUUGUGACUUCACUAUAUUGGUGUUAAUAUGCAAGUCCCACAAACCAGAUUUAGACAACAGCCUGAUGGACCUUGUAAUCUGUCACUGAAGCUGAAUGGAGCUUAAUAGACACAAACAACAACAAAAGUCUGACAAGAAACAGUUCGACGCUGUGACUUCCAUGUCCUGAGUCGCAAGAGCACUGCUCAGAAUUUCAAGGCACAUCUUCCAAAGGUAUGUGAAAGGAGA
This is a long non-coding RNA of Phyllostomus discolor (pale spear-nosed bat), 515 nucleotides long. RefSeq lists it as uncharacterized. The record is from RefSeq and is a predicted model, not a curated record. NCBI's taxonomy places the organism in Eukaryota, Metazoa, Chordata, Mammalia, Chiroptera, Phyllostomidae. The transcript is spliced from 3 exons.